Molecule: non-coding RNA, 23 nt
Filed under: Arabidopsis thaliana (thale cress)
Lineage: Eukaryota; Viridiplantae; Streptophyta; Magnoliopsida; Brassicales; Brassicaceae
Source: RNAcentral
ACCCGAUCCGAAUCCGAACCGAA